UUGGGAAUCUUGGACAAUGGGGGAAACCCUGAUCCAGCCAUGCCGCGUGAGUGAUGAAGGCCUUCGGGUUGUAAAACUCUUUCGACGGGGACGAUAAUGACGGUACCCGUAGAAGAAGCUCCGGCUAACUUCGUGCCAGCAGCCGCGGUAAUACGAGGGGGGCUAGCGUUGUUCGGAAUUACUGGGCGUAAAGCGCGCGCAGGCGGUCUUCCAAGUCAGUGGUGAAAGCCCGGAGCUCAACUCCGGAACUGCCAUUGAAAUUGUAAGACUUGAGGAUGAGAGAGGUGAGUGGAAUUCCCAGUGUAGAGGUGAAAUUCGUAGAUAUUGGGAAGAACACCGGUGGCGAAGGCGGCUCACUGGCUCAUAUCUGACGCUCAGGCGCGACAGCGUGGGGAUCAAACAGGAUUAGAUACCCUGGUAGUCCACGCCGUAAACGAUGAAUGCUAGCCGUUGGGCAGCUUGCUGUUCAGUGCGCAGCUAACGC
This 484-nucleotide ribosomal RNA is filed under the name uncultured Pseudomonadota bacterium. RNAcentral describes it as "bacterial SSU rRNA". It matches the Rfam family "Bacterial small subunit ribosomal RNA", at positions 355 to 858 of the family's 1533-position model. The record is from RNAcentral. Lineage: Bacteria; Pseudomonadati; Pseudomonadota.